AGGAUGAACGCUAGCUACAGGCUUAACACAUGCAAGUCGAGGGGCAGCAUGAUCGAAGCUUGCUUUGAUUGAUGGCGACCGGCGCACGGGUGAGUAACGCGUAUCCAACCUUCCCUAUAGUAGAGGAUAGCCCGGCGAAAGUCGGAUUAAUACUCUAUGUUUUCCGAAGCAGACAUCUAAUUUGGAACAAAGGUUCACCGCUAUAGGAUGGGGAUGCGUCUGAUUAGGUUGUUGGCGGGGUAACGGCCCACCAAGCCUACGAUCAGUAGGGGUUCUGAGAGGAAGGUCCCCCACAUUGGAACUGAGACACGGUCCAAACUCCUACGGGAGGCAGCAGUGAGGAAUAUUGGUCAAUGGGCGAGAGCCUGAACCAGCCAAAGUAGCGUGCAGGAUGACGGCCCUAUGGGUUGUAAACUGCUUUUAUACGGGGAUAAAGUGAGGGACGUGUCCCUUUUUGUAGGUACCGUAUGAAUAAGGACCGGCUAAUUCCGUGCCAGCCGCCGC
This 504-nucleotide ribosomal RNA is filed under the name uncultured bacterium. RNAcentral's name for it is "bacterial SSU rRNA". It matches the Rfam family "Bacterial small subunit ribosomal RNA", at positions 26 to 518 of the family's 1533-position model. The record is from RNAcentral.